GACGAAAGCAUAGGUAGCAAACAGGAUUUGGUACCCUGGUAGUCUAUGCUAUAAACAAUGAAUAUUAAAUAUUAGAACUGAUUAAUCUAAUUUAAAUAAAUUAGUGAAGAAUUUUUUAAUUUUUCUAAUAUACAAAGUUAACACGUUAAAUAUUUCGCCUGGGGAGUAAAACCGCAAGGUUGAAACUCAAAGGAAUUGACGGGAGCUUAUACUUACGGUGGAGCAUGUGGUUUAAUCCGAUAGUCCGCGUGAAAUCUUACCAAUUUUUGACAAUUUAUAGUUUUUUCAUAUAAUACAGGUGUUGCAUGGCCGUCGUCAGCUUAUGUUUUGAAAUUUAUUAUAUAAGUACAACCCUUGUUUUAAUUUGCUAUAAUUUAAAAUUAUAAAUAAAAUGUUUAUAAAUUAAAUUAGCACUAUUAAAAUUAAAAAUAGAUGAAUAAUUUAUUUUAAAGGAUGAAGAUAGGUCGUUAUGACCCUUAUAAA
RNAcentral lists this ribosomal RNA (483 nucleotides) under Blastocystis sp. RNAcentral describes it as "partial small subunit ribosomal RNA". It matches the Rfam family "Bacterial small subunit ribosomal RNA", at positions 752 to 1208 of the family's 1533-position model. Lineage: Eukaryota; Bigyra; Opalinata; Blastocystidae. The record is from RNAcentral.